ACUCACUUAGGGCUGAGUUCUCAGGGGGAAGCAGCCUUGUAAUCUAGAAGAGAAUGAGAGUGUUUGUGUUUCUGCUCUGUCUGGUGACAGCUCCAGAAGGUGUCCUGUCAGAGUUGAAGCUACAGGAGUCGGGCCCAGGACUUUUGAGACCAUCAGAGACAUUGUCUCUCUCCUGUUCUGUCUCUGGUGCACCCAUAUCUAGUGAUAACGGUUGGCACUGGAUCCGUCAGCCAACAGGAAAGGGGCUGGAGUGGAUUGGAAGAAUAUAUGGUAGUAAUGGUAAUACUUACUACAGUCCAUCUAUGAAGAACCGAGCCACCAUCUCAAAAGACACAUCCAAGAAUCAGUUCUCCCUGAAGCUGAGCUCUGUGACAGCUGAGGACACAGCCAUGUAUUACUGUGCAAGAGACACAGUGAUGGGAACCUUCAUUGUAACCAUGGUGUGUCUUAGUGUCUUCAGGCAAUCUGAAUUUUUGAAAAUUAAGGAAAUGUUCAUAUGUACUUCAGGAAUGAAGUACAGGAAUAGCGAGGACCGCUAG
Non-coding RNA from Erinaceus europaeus (western European hedgehog), 539 nucleotides. Lineage: Eukaryota; Metazoa; Chordata; Mammalia; Eulipotyphla; Erinaceidae. The record is from the annotation of a RefSeq genome assembly.